RNAcentral lists this ribosomal RNA (1273 nucleotides) under uncultured bacterium. Its description in RNAcentral is "bacterial SSU rRNA". It matches the Rfam family "Bacterial small subunit ribosomal RNA", at positions 44 to 1347 of the family's 1533-position model. The record is from RNAcentral.
GUGCUUAACACAUGCACGUCGAACGGAACCUUCGGGUUUAGUGGCUCACGGGUGAGUAAUGUAUAGCUAACAUGCCCUUUAGAGGGGGAUAACAGUUGGAAACGACUGCUAAUACCCCAUACUCCUUCUUACUUAAUGUAAGUUGGGAAAGUUUUUUCGCUAAAGGAUUGGGCUAUAUGGUAUCAGCUUGUUGGUGAGGUAAUGGCUCACCAAGGCUAUGACGCCUAACUGGUCUGAGAGGAUGAUCAGUCACACUGGAACUGAGACACGGUCCAGACUCCUACGGGAGGCAGCAGUGGGGAAUAUUACACAAUGGAGGAAACUCUGAUGUAGCAACGCCGCGUGGAGGAUGACACAUUUCGGUGCGUAAACUCCUUUUAUUAGGGAAGAUAAUGACGGUACCUAAUGAAUAAGCACCGGCUAACUCCGUGCCAGCAGCCGCGGUAAUACGGAGGGUGCAAGCGUUACUCGGAAUCACUGGGCGUAAAGCGCAUGUAGGCGGUCUUGUAAGUUGGGUGUGAAAGCCUAUGGCUCAACCAUAGAACUGCACCCAAAACUACUAGACUAGAGUCUGGGAGAGGAAAAUGGAAUUAGUUGUGUAGGGGUAAAAUCCGUAGAGAUAACUAGGAAUACCAAAAGCGAAGGCAAUUUUCUGGAACAGUACUGACGCUCAGAUGCGAAAGCGUGGGUAGCAAACAGGAUUAGAUACCCUGGUAGUCCACGCCCUAAACGAUGAAUGUUAGUCGUCGGGAGGCUCGUCCUUUCGGUGAUGCAGCUAACGCAUUAAACAUUCCGCCUGGGGAGUACGGUCGCAAGAUUAAAAACUCAAAGGAAUAGACGGGGACCCGCACAAGUGGUGGAGCAUGUGGUUUAAUUCGAAGAUACGCGAAGAACCUUACCUAGCCUUGACAUUGAUAGAAUCUGAUAGAAAUAUCGGAGUGCCAGUUUACUGGAGCUUGAAAACAGGUGCUGCACGGCUGUCGUCAGCUCGUGUCGUGAGAUGUUGGGUUAAGUCCCGCAACGAGCGCAACCCUCGUCCUUAGUUACUAACGGUUCGGCCGAGGACUCUAAGGAGACUGCCUUCGUAAGGAGGAGGAAGGUGAGGACGACGUCAAGUCAUCAUGGCCCUUACGGCUAGGGCGACACACGUGCUACAAUGGAUAGGACAAUGAGACGCAAUACCGCGAGGUGGAGCAAAUCUAUAAACCUAUUCUCAGUUCGGAUUGUAGUCUGCAACUCGUCUACAUGAAGCUGGAAUCACUAGUAAUCGUAG